Sus scrofa (pig) is the source of this 7773-nucleotide non-coding RNA. The record is from RefSeq and is a predicted model, not a curated record. NCBI's taxonomy places the organism in Eukaryota, Metazoa, Chordata, Mammalia, Artiodactyla, Suidae.
GUCAGAUUCGUUUCUGCUGCGCCACAACGGGAACUCCUAGAUACUAUUUUUUAAUUAGGAAUCAGAAACAAUGAAAGAAAGGACACUUCCUGGAGCUUUAUCUGGAGAUUUUCAUCUUCUGACCAAGAUCUCUCAUCUCUUUAAGCUAGCACAAGGGAGCUUUUUCUCCAGGUUACCUGAGGUUAUCCCCCAAAGAAGAUCUUUCCCGUUUGGAAAUAAGUGAUGGGUUUUCUCUACGGUUUGAAGACGACGACGAUGUCAAUGACAGGGAUUAACUUUUACAGGGCAGUUGUUGUGGACCAGGCACUGUACUAAUCACUUCAUAUAUAUUAUUUUAUUGAAUCCUCACAAUCAUCUUAUCAGGUAGAUAACAUUUAACGAAGAGAAAACGGAUAUUUAUGGAGGCUAAUUUGCCCCACGUCACACAGCUAAAAACUGAAGGGCCAGAAUUUAACAUCAAAUUAAAAGUCCUAAUCAUAAAAAUAAAUUGUGCCUCAGAUCCUCCAGCAAAACUUUACAAAAGUUAAAUCGCAUACAAGCUAUCCUUUACAGCAUUUUAAAUUUCCAAUCUAUACUACAAUUUCACUCUCAUACGCAUCAUUUCAUAUAGACACUCAUGUGACUAUCAUGUUAAAAACACUCAGAGCUUCUCUGACUCACACGUAACCUUUUAAGUAAAGUAUGUCUGCCUAUUUAUCCUCUUGUCUUUUCUUCCAGAGAGAGGCAACAUUUCAGAAAUUAAGUGGUUUCCAUGGUUUUUGUUUCUGAGUCACAUUCUUAGCUUUGGAACGACAUUAACACAGGUGCAAAUCCAGCACCGACUUCUCAAUCCCAACAUCCACUUCUAAGCUACAAGGAUAGACUAGCUUAGAAAUCCUGCUCUAUCACGUCUGCUGUUUUCCUCCAUCCGACACCUACAGCUGAAAGGCACCCCAGCACCCUUAAGACGUGUCCAAAGGAGCUAUGUCAUUCACUUGCUGGGCUCCUCUUUCCUGUCCAGCUACCCUGCGGUUCUCCAUCCCUGCCUCCAUCCAACUGCCUGCUUCAAGCUCCUUUCCAGACACUUGCUCCUUUUGGAACUGUGUCCAAAGACCUCUGACUUCGGCUGGAGCACUCAGAGCGCUGGACAGAAUGUCAUAAGCAUAAAAUGCAAAAGGUUAACUGCCAAGGAGAGUGAUGCAAAUACACUGCAUUCCCUUUGAGAAGGAUUAUCUACUUAUGAUUAAAUGUUCCCUAGUAAGAAUGUUUUCAAUAUUCCAAAGUGCCCUUCUGACCUUCUGCCUUUCCUUAAUGAACUUUCAUUUGCCUCCAAAUAGUCAGAAACUGGCUUCUGCACGUGGUACUGAUGAGAAGGUACAUGUGAAGCGCUGGCUUCCCAUGUGAUUGCAUGCCGUGGGAAAAGCUGGAGUGUGGGCCACUAGAGCAGCUACAGCCUCCCCACAUCAUUUAAGGGAAAGUCCUCCACAAGUGGAGAUGAAAUACUAGAAAAUCCAUUCUGCUCAAUAGCAUAGAAAGUAAUCAUCUACCCAGUUAACUCAAAAGAUAGCAGCCAAGGUGCAAUCUCAAAAAGAACCCAAAGCAUCGAUGUAGCAAUAUAAAGGUUAAAUAACUUUGCUGCUGGUUAUGGCUUAUCAAAGUUUCGCUCAUUACUAUUUCUAUCCAAGUUUCACCCUUACCUAAUGCUCGUAUCUACCUGUGCAAACCAAGUGUACCUUAGUGAAACUUACGUCUCAUCAAACACAGUGACACAUGCUACAUGAAAAAUAUCACUUUCUAAAUAUUUCUGCCUUCUUGCUCAGACCCAACCAGCCACAUCUAACAGUGCACUGCAGGGAGACAGACAAGCUGCUCUUCUGUGACAACACGAGGGAAAGGAAAGGAAAAAUCCACCGCUUGUUUCAUCUUAAAUUUGCUGUUGCCUAGAAACACUCAAGAAAUUAUUCUGAGGCAAUUAUUUGAGUCAAAAUCAUUCCAAGCAUGUUUCUCUCCCCAUAUUUGACUAAUUGGUUUUUACCAGCUUUGUUACAGUUCAUCUGUUGUUGUUUUUAAUUUCCCAGAUAUUCUGAUUAUUUUUAAUUCAGGAGCUUUUUAAUUUAACAAAAGGAGCUAAGUUAACCAAAUUUCCAGCAGGAAAGGAAAGAAACCUAUCUCCCCCACAAAAAAAAUACAAUAUCUAAACAUAGCAAGACUAUCUAUGACUACAUAGCCUAAUAAAUGAAUGAAUGAUGGAUGGAUGGAUGGAUGGAUCUAAAAAUACCACAUAUUUAAGGAGACCAGCCGAAGAUUAGAAAAUGACUUAAAUGUUAGUAAACUAAAAAGGAAAGCCUUGAAUUUUUUUAAAUAACAAAGAAGAAAUACUCAAUUAUCUUGAGUCAAAGGAAAAGAUAUAUGGCAAUAGCGCCCCUGGUUUUGGAAGCAAUUGUUGAUGGCAUGUUUGAACAUCUCAUCCUCACUUUACUUUCUCACCUUUCCUCCUUCUUCACAUGCUCUAUCACCUCCUAGCAUUCUGCCUUUCUCAUACCUGCCAAUCUCAUUUAACAUUUUCUCAUGUUAGGAGAAGUAAGGAUUAAAUGGUCACCUAGAAUGAACACGCCUCCACCACAACAGACUAAACGGUAGAUUAGAAUCACCUCUGAGAAGCCUCCCCUCACUCAACUGCAAUCCGGGAAUAAUAGGUACCCUUUAUGGAGUACAUAUGAUGUACCAAGCAUUAUCCUGAGACAGAUAAUUCUCCGAGGGAAGUCUCAGUAGCCUUGUGACUUACACGAGGACACGAAGUUACAGGAAGGUCUGAACCUUCUACCAGCGGACCCACGCGUCACACACAGGUCUCACUGACUCCAGAUCUUUCCAUCAUGCUUCGCUCUGCUUAUUCUCCAUUCAUCUCCAUGAACGUUCAUUGAGAACCUGCCACAUGUAAGUCUUGGUUCAUCUAGAGGAGGUUCAAGGAUCACACACUCCUCAAAGCGAACUUUUAUUUCUGUUUACUUUUACGUGGAUUAUCUCAUGCAAAACAACUUGAAACACAGAUUUUAGGCCACGAACAGGGAUGUCACAGAUUUCUGGCUGUGCUGACAUGAGUAAAGGAGGAGCAAAGGAGCAAAUGAACAAGCCAGAACAUGGAAGGAACAUUAGUUUCAGGGACCCAUCCUUUAGAUGGUGGUCGUGAAGAAAGAAUGUUUAAAAGCAGAGACUCGCUGUGUGAAAGGAAGGGUCUGCCAUAGGGACCAGGCUUCCGCCCUCCCCAGGCGAGUCCCCAGAGACGAAAUCUACAGCACAGGAAACUUCCACACCAUCCCUUGCUCUGCCAUAAAGCAAAGGUCGCUCAGGUCAUUUAGACCAAUGACGGCUAACUGGUCUUUAUUGGUUAUUCUAGUUAUACUGAGGUCGGAAUUUAUAUUUUUGGUCUUCAAAUAAUAAGAGUCCUGUUCUUCAUAUCAAAUAUGAACAAUUAACACUAGAAGCAAAGUAAAAAUGAAGUGGAUAGAAAGCAGAAAAUAUAGUGGGUGCUCUAUAAUACUGUUAGAGAUAAAUGUUAAGGGUUACAAGGCACAAAGCCAGUAAUUAUUUCUGGGUGGAGAGAGUCAACGGCUGUAUACAUCACUGAAUAUGUUUUGUCAUCUCAUAAUAUGGUUACAAGUAGUACCUUCGCUAAAAAUAAUUUUCCCCUACAACUUUUUUUUUUUUUUAAGAAAAAAAGCUUUUCCAAAAUCUUGGAUAAGCACAUCAGCAGUUAACCUGCCAUCUACAACAGUAUUUGAAGGUCACUUGGGAAACUCAUGUCACUUAUGUAGAGGUCAAUUUGAAGUACUACUACAAUUAUUUAGCUCUUAAUAAGUGUUUGGCAUGUCCUGCAAGGUUCUCUCCAGGCCCUAAUUAAAACCACACACCCUGCUUCUGUCCUGGCAGAAUAUUUGGGAAGCCCAUAACUAACCAAUUCACCACACCACACCAACCUCCAGGGCACGCGUUUAUUUGCAUUCACUUGAAAACUACCUUUGCAACUUGCACAUAAAAGUGACUGAUUCUCUGAAAACCGGUUCGGCUUCUUGUUUUUAAUGGCAAAUGCAACCCUUAAUUUACAAAAUAUUAUUCUGAUUAAGAGGACUGGCUUUUCUACUAAAUCAUGCUCUUCUGACAUUACCUGUGUACCAGGCAGUUUCAGAUCAAGAUAGUAUCAGAUAACUGUUAAUAUUUACAGAGUUAUGUUAGGAGAUGAGAUUCACCCAUGCAAGAGCUAUUCACAUAUAACCAUAAAUUAUUCAGCUUUUCUAAACAUCUGCUGUUCCCAAUUAUCAGAGCAAACUGACACUUGUUUCAAUGUCACUGUCGGACCAGCUCUUUGCUAGUUAUCUUGAAGCUGCUGUGCUGUAGUGCUCGUCCUGUUCUUCACUGCUCAGGAUUAGAGGCAGUAGAUCUGGCUCAGGCAAACUUAGCAUUUGCUCCAUGCCAAAUGCCCUUUAUUUCUCUGGCGGGCUUACCCAUGGCAUGUGAUUGUUUGCACUGGUGGGUUAGAUCUUUCUCAUUACAAGCAUGCUCUUUGGCAAGGGCCAACUAUAGGGCAAUUCUUGUCCUAUAUUCAUGCAUAGAAGUAUUCUUCAUCUUUUAUUUUCUUUCUAAAAAUUUUUUACUGUUAUUCCCCCAAUAAAAUUUUUUUUCCCACUGUACAGCAUGGUGACCCAGUUACACACACAUGUAUACGUUCUUUUUUCUCCCAUUAUCAUGCUCCACCAUAAGUGACUAGACAUAGUUCUCAGUGCUACACAGCAGGAUCUCAUUGCUAAUCCAUUCCAAUUUUUUGAUAUAGUUUUAUUUCAGUUUGGUGAAUAAAGUGUGCCUGACAUGUAGUAGGUGCUUAAUUAAAGUCUGUUAAAUGUCUAGUGCAAUUUAUUGGACCCCAACUUUAAAAAUAAAACAAAGCCCACCUUCUACUAGAUUACAUACUCUCAGUUUUAUUGGGAAAACAGAGUUUGACAUUCCCAUUGGCCAAAUUAUCUAUAGAGAUAAAAAUAUCUGUAACCUCUGACCCAUUAGUAAUAACAUACCCAUAUGUGUACUCAACAGUAUCUGCUGCAAUUUUAGAGCUACUCUCUUAGAUAAAUUAUGAUUUAAAAAUAAUAAAAUAAGGGAGUUCCCAUAGUGGUGCAGCAGAAACAAAUCUGACUGGUAUCUGUGAGGAUGUGGGUUUGAGCCCUGGCUUUGCUCAGUGGGUUAAGGAUCCGGCGCUGCCAUGAGCUAUGGUGUAGGUCACAGAUACGGCUCAGAUCCUGGUUGCUGUGGCUGUGGUGUAGGCCGGCAAAGCUAUAGCUCCGAAUCAACCCCUAGCCUGGGAACCUCCAUAUGCCCUAGGUGUGGCCCUAAAAAGCCAAAAAAAAAAAAAAUUAAUUUUAAAAAUAAAAUUAAAAAAAUAAUAAAAUAAAAUAAGCCUUCCUUUUUUCAUUGCAAACCUUAUCCAUUCAAUAUUAACUAACUUAAUAAUGUCAACACAAACCAUGGUGGAUUUGAUAUCAUUUAGAAAAAGCAUGCAAAUUCUUUAACUACUAGGAGCAAAAACUUUUUUUUUCUAUUUUUACUGUUGAACUAUCUGAAAUGCAUGAUACUAAUGAUUCAUCCUGCAAACCAACAAAAAAAAAAAUAUGAAAAAAAUUCCUAAAAUUUGUCACACCAAGGUAUAUCCACCAUAGGACUAUACAAUAAGUAGUAUACUGGCUUUGUUGCUUUAAAAGAUUCUAGAACAGUAGCUUCAACAAGAUUAGAAAGGUUCAUUUUCCUCCUACUCAGAGCAAUCCUAGCUGGGAGAAAUUCAAGGGAGGGGAGCAGGAAUGUUACAUGAUAUGAUAAGAGACCCUGUUUCUUUCUGUCUGGUUGCUUUGCCACCCCUAAGGAAUGCCCUUGGUUGUAAGGUCAAAGGCAACUCCCAUCACCAGGUCUGCAUUUCAGCUUAGGAAGAGGAAGAUAAAUGAAGGUCAAACAGCUCGAUUUUUAGGCUAUGAUAUGAAAAUUGCUGAGGUCACUCCUGCUAAUAUCCUAUUGGCCAGAAUUUAGUCACCUGAUAUUAUUUAAAAGCAAAGGAGACUGGGAAAUGUAGUCUGUAGCAGGACCGCAGGGAGACACAUAAAACUCAGGGAGUUCUACUAUUAAAAAGAACAGGAGGGAUGGAUUUGGGGGAAAAUAAGCAGGUUGACAAAGCAGACUAGCAUAUUCUUUCAUUAAUUCAAAAGACCCAUUUAAUAAAUGGCAUUUAUUAAAUAGACACUCUUCCCAUAAAUAUGGAAAUUCUAAUAAUGUUGGAGCACUGUUUUUACUUACUCUCUAGAACAGUAAAUUGCAAGGAAAUUUUCAAGGACAGGUGUGUUCUUGAAGUGAUAUUAGCACCGUGCUUGCUCUAUAAUCAUUCAUAUUGAAGUUGAAUAUCAAAUCCAAAAAUGGACCUGCUAGGUUUUCUCUUUCACUGGAGUUGUCAGAGGUGGCUAUCCUCUCCCUAGCUGACUGAGGAAGAGAAAGGGGGUAACUAAUCAUUAUUGAGGAGUUCUUCUCUAUCAAGCCCUGUGCUAGAGACUUACAAACCUUAUCUCAUUUACCUCCUUAAGACAGCCCUUUGUGAAACUAUUCUGUUCUUCAAAUGAGAAAACUGAAGCUUGAGGGGUUCAAUAAUUAAGCCAAGUGUGUUAGAUUUGCUAUGGGCUCAUUUUCUGCUUCCAUGGGUAGUUAGGGGGAAAAAAGUGGACCUUUUCACAAAAACUCACAAAACAGAGAAAAACCACCAGCCAGCCACCUCCUGUUCUUCCAAGAUUUGUGGGGAAGAAAGGAAUCUCUGGCCCAAAGGAAGAGUCAAGGGUUAUGUUGCUCAUCACUCCAUGUUGAGUUCUACAUCUUGCUGGAGGCAAACACACCUGAGAGCCUGUGAGUCCCCAAGAAACUGGAUCCUUCUUCGGCUAGCCUGGGGUGGGGCUGGAGAGCAGGUCCUAGCACCUCCAUCAACUGGUCUCAGAGGUACAUCAGAAGUGGCACAGCCUGGGUCUAAGACCUGCUGAACUCAGGCCAACACAGAGAAGUCACCAUCAGCCCCUCUUUUGGGUGUAGUCCUGACUUCCAAUAGGAGAGCUUGAGCUACCAAGACACAAGUGAUUCAUCAGUUCUUUGGAAGUAUAUAGCUAAAGCCAGUUGUAAAUUUAAUUUCAACAUAGCAUUAGUGAUGUCAUUCAAUCUGCAGUAUUACAAUCAAAUUGCAUAACUAACCACCUUGGUAUUUAUGACCCAAAGCUUCCAUUACUUUGGACAAUAAUCUUAUGCCCAAGCAAAGAAAGUCUCUCGACAAAGGAGCACUAGCUUAGGAAACCUCAGACUCUGAAAAAGACAAAGAACACCUACCAAAAACCAAAUUCAAGCAGCCAAAGAGAAAAAUGACAAAGCCUAGAUUUUCAUCCUUAUCAAAUUGACUGGACCACUAAGCAGAGAAACCUUCAGCACAAUAAAAUCACUCCAAUGAAAAUUAGGGGAGAAAUACUACCUUACAGGUAAUGAGUCAGUGCUGUUGCAUGCUGCUGGACCCCAGCUGGCAUUUCAAUCUUCACUGUAUUAUCGAAGGAAGUAAAAAAAAAAAAAAAAAAAAAAAAAAAUCCUUUUAUACUGUUGAGCAAUGAAUUCUGUCUGUAAGUUCAUAAGAAUUCAUUUUUAAAAGUUUUGUUCCCACGGUGGCUAAUUAGCAAGGAGUUAAGAGCUCAGGCUCUAUUGGCAGAGACUUGAUUUCAAAUUCAGUCCUGCCACAGACUA